Molecule: ribosomal RNA, 252 nt
Filed under: uncultured bacterium
Lineage: Bacteria
Description: partial 16S ribosomal RNA
Rfam family: Bacterial small subunit ribosomal RNA
Source: RNAcentral
GACGGAGGGUCUAGCGUUGUUCGGAAUCACUGGGCGUAAAGGGCGCGUAGGCGGCCUUGUAAGUCAGGAGUGAAAGCCUGGGGCUUAACCCCAGAAGUGCUCUUGAUACUGCGAGGCUCGAGUCCAUGAGAGGUUAGCGGAAUUCCUAGUGUAGCAGUGAAAUGCGUAGAUAUUAGGAGGAACACCAGUUGCGAAGGCGGCUAACUGGCAUGGUACUGACGCUGAGGCGCGAAAGCGUGGGGAUCAAACAGG